GAUUUAUCGGACAAGGACUGUGAAGGGAAAAUUAAAAGGAAGUGAUACAGUAGGUAGGAUACCUACCAGUCAUGACGACAUAGAUGGACCACUUCAGGAUGAAGUUAGGGACACCUCCAGGAAGGAGAAGAGAGUCGAGACAGGAAGUAUCGACGGGUCAAGGCGAGACCGAUAGGACAUGUCCAGGAAGGAUACAAAGGGAAAGCGCUGAAGGAAACAGCUUAAUCAUGGAAUGAUGCAGGGAGCACCAUAGUAGCUGGAUCGCUGCAAGUAAGACCAAGGGCGCGACGAAAGUCGCGCCCGCUCUUUUUGUA
This 314-nucleotide non-coding RNA is filed under the name Photobacterium gaetbulicola Gung47. The record is from RNAcentral. Lineage: Bacteria; Pseudomonadati; Pseudomonadota; Gammaproteobacteria; Vibrionales; Vibrionaceae.